UACGGAGGGUGCAAGCGUUAAUCGGAAUUACUGGGCGUAAAGCGCACGCAGGCGGUUAAUUAAGUUAGAUGUGAAAUCCCCGGGCUUAACCUGGGAAUGGCAUCUAAGACUGGUUAGCUAGAGUCUUGUAGAGGGGGGUAGAAUUCCAUGUGUAGCGGUGAAAUGCGUAGAGAUGUGGAGGAAUACCGAUGGAGAAGUCAGCCCACUGGACAGAUACUGACGCUGAAGCGCGAAAGCGUGGGUAGCAAACAGG
Molecule: ribosomal RNA, 253 nt
Filed under: uncultured bacterium
Lineage: Bacteria
Description: partial 16S ribosomal RNA
Rfam family: Bacterial small subunit ribosomal RNA
Source: RNAcentral